Molecule: ribosomal RNA, 325 nt
Filed under: uncultured eukaryote
Lineage: Eukaryota
Description: partial 18S ribosomal RNA
Rfam family: Eukaryotic small subunit ribosomal RNA
Source: RNAcentral
CCCUUAGAUGUUCUGGGCCGCACGCGCGCUACACUGAUGCAUUCAACGAGCCUAUCCUUGACCGACAGGUCCGGGUAAUCUUUGAAUCUGCAUCGUGACGGGGAUAGAUUAUUGCAAUUAUUAAUCUUCAACGAGGAAUGCCUAGUAGGCGCAAGUCAUCAGCUUGCGUCGAUUACGUCCCUGCCCUUUGUACACACCGCCCGUCGCUCCUACCGAUUGGGUGUGCUGGUGAAAUGUUCGGAUCGGCCGUUUGUCGCGGUUUACGCGUCAUGUGGCUGAGAAGUUCAUUAAACCCUCCCACCUAGAGGAAGGAGAAGUCGUAACA